AGCCUGAACCAGCCAAGUAGCGUGCAGGACGACGGCCCUAUGGGUUGUAAACUGCUUUUAUGCGGGGAUAAAGUCACCCACGUGUGGGUGUUUGCAGGUACCGCAUGAAUAAGGACCGGCUAAUUCCGUGCCAGCAGCCGCGGUAAUACGGAAGGUCCGGGCGUUAUCCGGAUUUAUUGGGUUUAAAGGGAGUGUAGGCGGCCUGUUAAGCGUGUUGUGAAAUGUAGAUGCUCAACAUCUGAACUGCAGCGCGAACUGGCUGGCUUGAGUACACGCAACGUGGGCGGAAUUCAUGGUGUAGCGGUGAAAUGCUUAGAUAUCAUGAGGAACUCCUAUUGCGAAGGCAGCUCACGGGAGUGUCACUGACGCUUAAGCUCGAAGGUGCGGGUAUCAAACAGGAUUAGAUACCCUGGUAGUCCGCACGGUAAACGAUGGAUGCCCGCUGUUGGCGCUUUGCGUCAGCGGCUAAGCGAAAGCAUUAAGCAUCCCACCUGGGGAGUACGCCGGCAACGGUGAAACUCAAAGGAAUUGACGGGGGCCCGCACAAGCGGAGGAACAUGUGGUUUAAUUCGAUGAUACGCGAGGAACCUUACCCGGGCUUGAAUUGCAGAGGAAAGAUCCAGAGAUGGUGAUGCCCUUCGGGGCCUCUGUGAAGGUGCUGCAUGGUUGUCGUCAGCUCGUGCCGUGAGGUGUCGGCUUAAGUGCCAUAACGAGCGCAACCCCUUUUUCCGGUUGCCAUCAGGUGAUGCUGGGCACUCCGGGGACACUGCCACCGUAAGGUGUGAGGAAGGUGGGGAUGACGUCAAAUCAGCACGGCCCUUACGUCCGGGGCUACACACGUGUUACAAUGGCCGGUACAGAGGGCAGGUGCAAUGCAAAUUGCAUCAAAUCUAUAAAUCCGGUCUCAGUUCGGACUGGGGUCUGCAACCCGACCCCACGAAGCUGGAUUCGCUAGUAAUCGCGCAUCAGCCAUGGCGCGGUGAAUACGUUCCCGGGCCUUGUACACACCGCCCGUCAAGCCAUGAAAGCCGGGGGUGCCUGAAGUUCGUAACCGCAAGGAGCGACCUAGGGCAAAACUGGUGAUUGGGGCUAAGUCGUAACAAGGUAGCCGUACCGGAAGGUGCGGCUGGAACACCU
This 1137-nucleotide ribosomal RNA is filed under the name Prevotella corporis. RNAcentral's name for it is "bacterial SSU rRNA". It matches the Rfam family "Bacterial small subunit ribosomal RNA", at positions 380 to 1528 of the family's 1533-position model. The record is from RNAcentral. Lineage: Bacteria; Pseudomonadati; Bacteroidota; Bacteroidia; Bacteroidales; Prevotellaceae.